AGCAAGCGGACGAAGGCAUACACGACGGUCGAGGACAAGCUCCUUUGUGAGUGUUGGAGGGACAUUGGGAAAGACCCCAAGGUCGGCACCGAACAAAAGGCAUCAACCUUUUGGAUUCGUGUCCACCGUGAGCACCAUGAGCGCAAGAAGUUUGCGCCGUACCAAAUGCAAAGCACGAGUGGGUGGGUGUCCAUUUCGAAGCGAUGGAGGGUGAUCCAACAAGAGUGCAACAAGUCUUGA
This 240-nucleotide ribosomal RNA is filed under the name Triticum aestivum (bread wheat). Its description in RNAcentral is "partial small subunit ribosomal RNA". The record is from RNAcentral. Lineage: Eukaryota; Viridiplantae; Streptophyta; Magnoliopsida; Poales; Poaceae.